This 285-nucleotide long non-coding RNA is filed under the name Nicotiana tabacum (common tobacco). RNAcentral describes it as "long non-coding RNA (NTAB_LNC013923)". Lineage: Eukaryota; Viridiplantae; Streptophyta; Magnoliopsida; Solanales; Solanaceae. The record is from RNAcentral.
CAUCUCCUCCCCCUAGCAGUUUACCCCCACAAUCUGCUCCUCCAAUAAAUGCAACAUCUCCACCUAUAGCACCAGCACCACUGCCUCAAUCACCUCCUCCAACAAAUAUAACAUUGCCUCCUCCUGCCUCAUCUCCACCUCCACUCACUUCACCAACACCUCCUGUAGAAUCUGCUCCUCCAAUUAGUCCUCCACCUCUUCCUUCGUCGCCUCCAUCUACACCUUCCGGUCCACCUCCAACUUCUAGUCCGCCGCCUAGUUCAUCUCCACCUCCAUCAUCCAGCA